UACGGAGGAUGCAAGCGUUAUCCGGAUUCAUUGGGUUUAAAGGGUGCGUAGGCGGGAUCUUAAGUCAGUGGUGAAAUCCUGCAGCUUAACUGCAGAACUGCCAUUGAUACUGAGAUCCUUGAAUGCGGUUGAGGUAGGCGGAAUGUGUAAUGUAGCGGUGAAAUGCGUAGAUAUUACACAGAACACCAAUUGCGAAGGCAGCUUACUAAGCCGUGAUUGACGCUGAGGCACGAAAGCGUGGGGAUCAAACAGG
RNAcentral lists this ribosomal RNA (253 nucleotides) under uncultured bacterium. RNAcentral's name for it is "partial 16S ribosomal RNA". It matches the Rfam family "Bacterial small subunit ribosomal RNA", at positions 524 to 776 of the family's 1533-position model. The record is from RNAcentral.